GCCACAAUUGCAUAGUUGAAUUCAAAAUUGAAUCUCAAAAAGGGUUUUAAAAGACUUUGUUUACACCCAUUUAAGCUUUGGAUUUUCAAACCAAUAGGGUUGAUGUAUAAAAAGGGUUUAAUGCAUAUAUAAGCUAUCCCAUAAUUUUUGGUUAACUAAUUGGAGUUGAAAAAGUAUUUUAUUCAAACAGAUAUAUAGCCCUAAAGUCAUUUAUAGGGCAAAUGUAUUUUUAUAUAUUUUAUUUUGAAGAGAAACUACUUCCAAAAGUUGUAUCAUGGUAGAACAUGAUUUUACAAAUUUUCUGGAAUUUAUUUGGACCAAUUUGGAGUUCAAACACAAAAGAUAUCAAAGAAAUGAGAAAAACAGAAAAAGAAAAGGCCUAAAAGAAGAAAAAAAGGGGUAAACCGGCCCGGCCCGGCCAAAAUGGGCCGAACCGGCCCAGUCCGACCGCGCCCGACCGGCCC
Molecule: long non-coding RNA, 464 nt
Filed under: Brachypodium distachyon (stiff brome)
Lineage: Eukaryota; Viridiplantae; Streptophyta; Magnoliopsida; Poales; Poaceae
Description: long non-coding RNA (BDIS_LNC004737)
Source: RNAcentral